Molecule: long non-coding RNA, 2536 nt
Filed under: Aedes aegypti (yellow fever mosquito)
Lineage: Eukaryota; Metazoa; Arthropoda; Insecta; Diptera; Culicidae
Description: lncRNA AAEL023959
Source: RNAcentral
UCGGUGACACUAACCGCACGGCUACGAAGCCCGAUGUGUUUGAUUGCACAUUGAAACCCCCUAAAUUACGACCCUGUGCCUAACUGGAGGUCGUCAGCUUCUGCAGCCCUAAAGAUCAGAAAAACCAUCCAUUCUACUGGCUACCUACAAGCAGCGAUGCAGUGAGCCUAGCCGAAUCACCAUACGAAGAGCAUGGAUCUCCCAGGCAUCCAAUCUCCUACUCUCUAGGCGACCCCAACAUCCAUCAUCAUCAUCAUCAUCAUCACCAUCAUCACUGCCGUAGGAGUGAUUAGGAAGACCUGAUAAGAGCGGCGAGAAUCGCUCUGAGAACCAGCGAGGUAAAACAUCGCAGCGGGAGACCAGCGGAUCGAUAGCCCGAAGAGUUGGAGCAACCUUCAGUCCAAAUCUACCAGGUCACCGAAACACACGGGCGGUGGACCCACGGCCGGUUAAUUUUAUCCGUUUGAUUCGUUCUUUAUUGUGUUAGUUGUAAGCUCCAAACCAAUUAAAUAGUUUAAGUCAAAUAAACCUGUUUGCAUGUUCGUGAUAAACUUUCAAUAAAUGUAGUGUUUAAUAGUCGCGAGUGUUAAAUUUGGUUGGUGUAAAUCCCGAAAAAGGCUAGAACGACCAGGUUGAGGACACUGUGCAUGCAAGAAGACCAUUGUGUGGCACUGAAACAAAGAAACAAAUCCCAUCGAUGUUGGAGACAGGAACCGUCUGAGCUAUCCACCCAAGGUAUUUGGACCUUCCCCAUCACGAUGUGUGAACCUACCAGCCAGGAGGUACAACUAUAAUCGUCAGAGAGACUUGCAAUAGGAAACCAAAAUGUUGGUAGCAUAGUAGGAUCCAGUGAUACAAAAAUGCAAUCGGAAGAAAUUGAAACCGCACAUAUUUUCGUAACGGAAUCGAAUGGCAGUGGAACGCGUAGAACACGAUAAAUGACAAUCCAUUUCCGGUCGAACGGUUUCUCUAAGCUGGGAUUCCGCGGGCAUAUCCAUCCACCAACGACAUUGUCGACGACGACAACGGUUCGACGAGAUUAAUUCAUUCCAUUGCACAAUGAUUUUCAAUUUUUCAUUCCGAACACCAGGCACAAGUCAGCCAAGCAUUUGAAGCACUUUCCACGGGAGCUUUGGUUCGAUUGUGCAAUUUUGUGGUGAAGAUUGAAAGCGAUAGAGUACCGUGCUGCAUCAAUACUGGACACUUUUGCCGACGCCAAUGUUUAAAAAUUUGAGCAGGUUUUCUAUAGAAAUAAUGAAUUCUUAUGUAACGAACAAAUCAAUGUUGCUUUUAAAAUAAAUGAUAGUUAGAAAUUCAUAGAACAAAUGUCAAUUUGGAGAAAAUGAGUUGCAAAAUUAUGACUGUGGUUUGAACUAAACCAAAUACUUAUUUUGUCAUUUUAUGGUUCAAAAUGUUUUCUCUCACUUUUAUUUGGUCGGGGUUCUGCUAAACCGCACCAAGUGCCAAAAUCUUUAUUCCGAGAUAUUUUACUUUAAAGUCUUUUCCUGUACUAGUUUAUCGCAGACGAUAAUUUUAAUUUUUUUAUCGCUCACAUACUAUUAACAGUGCUCAAUAAGUACACCGAGAUUAAAUAUACUAAUAAAUCAUCAAGAAUUAACAAUGUGAUUGGAUUUCAUUAAACAAUAUGAAGCACUCAGUGCACUUUGGCUGAACAAAAAUUGAAAAAUAUGGUUCUUGGUUCGGUAUGGUUGUACACAGUAUUCAACAACAUGUAACCGUUUGGUUACAAAUUGUUGAUUUUUGUUGAAUGUCGGACCCUUCACGUUUCUUGUGCAAAAACAGAAGAAAAUUACCACAGGAGUGAUAGGGUCCAGUACCGCUGUAAACGUCUUCGUCCGCUACCAAUUGAUAAUCAUGGUGGAACGAUAGGCAUAAGAAGCGAGAUAGCAUGUGAAAAGGUAAAAUAAGACGGAAUGUGGGAAACUGAAAACUCAGUAGCCAUUGCCCAAAUUCGGCAGCUAUUUUAAUUAGGCGUCCGUGUGCUUAUGACGUGGUUUACACGCUAACUUAAAAGUACCCUUAAAAUGAGUACCAUGUACCCAUUAUUAUGAACUGUAUGGAAAUGUCAGAAGAAGGGUAUUUUCCAAUGACAUGAAAAAGGGUACUUGAGCCCCAUUAUAAGGUAUGCUCACUCGCAAAAUUAAUGGGUAAAUAGUACACGGUAUAGCUUACCACCAUCAAUGUCUCAAUGUUGCUGUUUUGAUUCGGAUCCAAAAUUUAACGAAAAAAAUGUUGCUCAACGUGGAAGUCAUUCUGCUCAGUUAGUUCUUUUUACAGAUACGUAAGUAAUAGCGGUGAUUUUUUUCCGGAAUGAUAAGUUUUACGAAUUGCUCCUUUUUUCACAUUUCAGCAUUCUUCAGAUUCCAUACUGUUCGCUACAGCCAUUCCCGAGUACAAAAUUUGACCUUCCGGCUGGUUCCAAUGAGGAUGUUUUGGAGUGUAUUCGCGUCUUCACCACUUAAGUGUUUGGUUUCCGCAAGGGGAUAUAUAUGAGUAAUAAAUAUAUUAUAUUGUA